UACGGAGGGAGCUAGCGUUGUUCGGAAUUACUGGGCGUAAAGCGCGCGUAGGCGGCUUUGUAAGUUAGAGGUGAAAGCCCGGGGCUCAACCCCGGAACUGCCUUUAAGACUGCAUCGCUUGAAUCCGGGAGAGGUGAGUGGAAUUCCGAGUGUAGAGGUGAAAUUCGUAGAUAUUCGGAAGAACACCGGUGGCGAAGGCGGCUCACUGGACCGGUAUUGACGCUGAUGUGCGAAAGCGUGGGGAGCAAACAGG
This 253-nucleotide ribosomal RNA is filed under the name uncultured bacterium. Its description in RNAcentral is "partial 16S ribosomal RNA". It matches the Rfam family "Bacterial small subunit ribosomal RNA", at positions 524 to 776 of the family's 1533-position model. The record is from RNAcentral.